GGGCAUAGUUAGUGUUGGUUCAGCAAGCAUGUGCGUUAUAUCGCUUUAUCGAUUGUGUCUAAAUAUUCUUAUAUAAACAGGAUUUAACUUAUUUUAUAAAAUUUGGUAAGUAUGCAAUUUUUGUUUAAGUUUCUACUGAUCUAUUGUAUGUCGUCGUGUAUAUGUAUUACACAAGUUAAGUCAUUCAUUUUAGCGUGCACAAUUCACAAUUUGUCUACACUAGAAUAAAUUAUUAAAUAAUCGUGAUUACACAUGUUUAUUUUUUUUUCCCUAUAAUGUUUAUGAAUAAAACAACAAUAUGUACCAUGUCGUUACUUAUGCAUGGUUGAACAUUUUUACAAACUGUAACACAUUCCGACAUGCAUGAUUGAACCUGUGAAUAAACAUGACCAUAUAUGGCUUGUAAACAAUUAACAAUUGUGUUUACAAAUUACAAUGUUUUGUACUUUUUAUAAAAUAAUGUUUCAAACAUUUAAAUUGAUUUAAUUCUGAUUUUUUUUUUUAAAUCUUCAAUGAAUCUAUUUGUUUUUAGAAUUGUCUUACUAUUAUUUUUGUUAUUAAAAUUGUUCAUUUCAAUAAUAUCUGAAAUUUCUUUUUGGAAAAUUUUCAAAAUGUUUAUUUUUUUGUUUUCUUUUCUGAGACAUAAUAUGCUUUAUAUAAUGAAAAGGAUAUUAUUGUUAGUAUGUAGUUAAUAUCAAAGUAUGCUGAGUCUUCAAUUUUGUACCCUAUUACUAGAUUUUCAAGACUUAUAAUGUUUUUGUCUAUACCUAGGGAGUUCAUUAAUUUCAUUGCUAUUUUUAGGAAGUCUGUAUUAAAUAAGCAGUUGACAAAAAAGUGUUCAUAGUUAUCUUUUUCUUUACAAUGCUUACAUAAGUUGUCUUCAGUAAUUUUCCACUUUUUUAAUAGUUCAUUGCAUGGCAGAAUAUAGUGAAUAAGUUUCCAUCUAAACAUUUUUAAUCUGUUAUCAGUGAGAUAUUGAAAAAUGAAAACAAAGUUAUUUUUGAACUUGUUACUUAAAUUUUUGUCAAAUAAUUUUUCCCACAACAAAAAACCGUUCGGUUUUUCGUGAUUUUCUUUAGUUUGUUUGAACCUUUUUUUAUAAAGUUUUCCAAUUUCAAUUAGUAGCUUAUCAAUUGUUUAAUUUGUUGUUGUUUUUUUAUUUCAAUGUUUAUUGUUUUCUGUUUAAACCUAAUUUUUUAAACUUGUCAAUUUUGUGUUAAUCAAAAACAUUUUGUAACUUAUUUUUAUCAAUGUCUUUAAUACUCUUUAAAUUCAUUUUGAAUACAAGAAGAUUUUUCCCUAAUUUGUUAAAAUAAAAUUUUGGAAUGAUUGUCGCAUUAUCAUAUUUUUAUUCUCACUUAAUUUUAAAAUCCAGCUGAUAUGCAGUGAUUUUAUGUAAACAUCAAUGUCUGUCAUAUUUAGUCCACCUUCCAAAAAAUCUUUUAGAAGUGUGGAUCUUUUUUAUUUUGUCUUUUUUGCCUUUCCAUAUAAAAUUAUAUAUCAAAGUUUUAAAAUUUUGCAACAUUUCUUUAGGAAUUAUAGUGUUUGAUGCAAUAUAUGUUAGGUUUGGCAAAACAAGUGAUUUGAUGAUGACUAUCUUUCCUAUAAUAGUAAGAUUUCUUUUACUCCAAUCAGUUAUUAUUUUUUUACAUUUUAAAAGCUGUUUUUCAAAGUUUAAUUUUUGACAUUCUUGUUUAUUGUGACCAAAAUAAAUUCCAAGACUUUUAAUAGGUGUAGUACACCAAUUUAUAUCUUCACAUUUAUCACGACAGUGUUUCAAUUGGCCUAGCCAUAUCCCUUCAGUUUUUGUUUUGUUCAAUUUUAAACCUGAGAAAGUACCAAAUAUUUCUAUUAAAUUAAUUGCAAGAGUAACAUCUUUUUUUGAUUGAAGAAAUAAAGUAGUAUCAUCUGCUAGUUGGCAAAUUUUCAGAGUAUUACUUUUUCCGUCUAGUUUUAUUUCUAGUCCUUUUAAAUUUUUAUUUUCCCUUAUCUUAAUUGCCAUUACUUCUACUGCUAGAACAAAUAGUAACGAUGAUAACGGACAUCCUUGUCGGAUUCCACGUGAAGCACUGAAUCGAGUAGAAACCCACCCGUUAUUAAUAAUGCAUCCUUUAAUAUCCGAGUACAUUGUCUGAACCCACCUAAUAAAAUUAUUUUUAAAGCCAAAUUUCUUUAAAGUCUCAAACAUGAAGUCCCAUUCUAACGAGUCAAAUGCUUUUGUAAAGUCAAGGAAUAAGAUUGCCCCAUCUAUUUUAAAAGUUUCAGAGUAAUCUAUAACAUCUUGUAUUUGUCGAAUAUUAAAACCAAUAUACCUAUUUUUUACAUAUCCUUUCUGGUCAGUGUGUAUAAUUUUUGGGUAGCAGGGGUUUUAAUCUUUGUGCUAAUGCAUAAGCGAGUAAUUUUGCAUCAUAAUUUAAAAGAGUUAUAGGUCUAUAAUUAUCUAGUGAAAGAGGGUCAUUUUUUUUAUAAAUUAAGGAUAUUAAACCUACUUUCUGAGUGUUUGAUAGCUUUCCUUUUUCAUAACAAUAAUUAAAAGUAGCGACUAUAAAAGUUUUUAAUUCUUCCCAAAAUUUUCUGUAAAAUUCAACAUUUAAUCCAUCAAGCCCAGGAGCUUUAUUUAGUUUCAUUUUAAAAAUUGCAUCAGUACAUUCAUCAACAGUUAUUUCCCCUUCACAAGUAUUACUUUCAGAGUCAUUUAAUUUUUUAUAUUCUUUUAGAGAUUCUAAAUACUUUUUUGUUUCUUCUAUCUCAGGAUUUUUUGUAGAGUACAAAUUUUUAUAAUAAUUUGCUUCUAAUUCUAAUAUUUUGUCUUGAUCUCUUGUAACUUGACCCUUAUCAUCAUAUAAUUGGGUUAUUGUUUUUCUACUCUGUCUAGAUUUUUCCAUCCCUAGAAAAUAUGCUGAAUUUUUUUUCUCCCUCUUCAACCCAUUUUACCCUUGCCCUUAUUCGGAUUACCUUUUAUUUUCUCAUUAUAGAGUUUUCCUAUUUCAUUUUCUAUAUUUUCUACUUUCUGUACUAAGUUGCUUUUGUUUUUGUCAUUGCAUGAUGAUUUGUCUAUAAUUUUAUUUAAUUCCGUUAACAUUUUUUCCAACUGGCUGAUUUGGUCUUUUUUAUUUUUAGCUUUUAUUUUACAAUAGUUGAUUGUCUGGUCUCUAACUUCAAUUUUGAAAUUGUCCCACAGAAUGUCAAGUUCAGUUUUAGUUUUUGCCUUGUUUUUAUAAUUUUUUAUUAUCUUAUUAAUUAUUUCAAUGUAGUCUUCAUUUUGAAGUACACUACUGUUAAGUUUCCAGUAUCCCCUUCCUUUUUGUCCUCUCUACUUAAAUUUAUUUUUAAGGAAACACAGUUGUGAUCUGUGUAUUGUAGUACUAUUGGUCUUAUAUCACAUGAAACACAGUUUUUGAAUACCUCAGGAGCAAUUAAAAAAAUAAUCAAUUCUUGUCGACUCCGAUCUAUCUUUUCUACUCCAUGUAUAUUGAAUUUUGUUUGGAUUUCUGUUUCUCCACACAUCACUUAGUUUAAGGGACUUUAUAAGUUUAUUUAAGUUGUGAGCAGGUUUUUUUUUUAUUUUGGUGCUUAGAUUUGCUUUUUGAAUCAAUAUGGAUAAAAUUUCGUUAAUCUCCUCCUUCUGUUGACUGGAUUCAUUGUGAUUUUUGUUCAAAUUGGUUCCGUUGUAUUCGUAACAUUUUGCAGUCAAUUCGUGUUUUAUUAUAUGCAUAUAUUAUUAUAUGUAUUUCAAGAUUUAAUUUACAUAUAAAGCAAUCAAUUGUUACAAUUUUCAAUUUUUUUCAAAUAUUAUUGUUUUUUUUUUAUAUUUUGAUUUGGAUUACAAAUUUUUGUUAAAUUUUUCUUUAUAUUGUCUUACUUUACCUUUUGUUGUUUAUUGGUUUUACAAUAUUUUAAUGUCUUUCAUUUGUAAAUUUCUCAAUUUUUCUGGUUAAUUUUAGUUGAAUAAAAAGCACGAAAUGUUUCAUUUUAAAUUACAAAAUAAAUGUGAAAUUGACAUCACUUAACAGUAUCUUUAGUUCAUCUUUAGAUAAACUUUGAGGAUGCCUUGUUUAAGAGUGAUAAUUUUUUAUUCUACUUAUAGGUUUUAUUAUUUCAAUAGUUUUAGUCUAGAAGUCAUUUUGAUAAUAAGGUACACAGUUAUUUUCCAUAGUACUAGCCCAUGUUGCACACCAGUACAUAUCCCUUUAUUAUUUUAAUUUUCUGGCCUUGUUUUUGGUUGCGACACCAUGGAUUCAGAUUUUUUCUGUACCAAUACUUAUAACUAAUAUCAAUGAUAUACCGCAAUAUAUAAUCGUUAUGUAAUCGAUAAAAAAUAAAGACAACACGUUAAGGGACGACAUCAAAACAUCAAUGAAGGAUAAAAAAACUUAAUUCAAAUAGUUUGGGUCUUUACAUCGAUUUUAUAUAUAUCCUUAUUGUUCAAUCAAUUUUUCCCAAAUUAAGUUAAGAGGGGAGUAUGGGGGUCAGUGAUAAAACUAUAUGAAUUAAGUUGUUUAUCCUACAUUGAACUUUUGAUGUCGUCCCUAAAAGAUCCAGGAUUGAGUUCAAUAUCGUAGCUGCUACGUAGCUGCUAUCAAUAUCUAUGUAGCAACUGGUCUAUAGCUACACGUUCAAUAGUCAAAAUCUACGUAGCACUACGUAGUUGCUACGAUAUUAAACUCAACACAGGACUCCUAAGUGCAUUUGUGGAUGAUUUAAUUUCCUCAUGAACGACCAAAAGCCGAAUCUUUGAAGGCCAAUAGUUUAUAAGAACUGCAAUAGCUGAUUAAAAGAUAAAGAUGAUUGUUCAGAAUUGUACGUUUAAUAAUUUCAUCUGCCGACAUGACUGCAGAUAAAAAAAAAAGUUGCGAAAUAAAAUGUAAAUUAAAAAUAAAUAUGAGGGAAUACACGUGCAUUUAAUAAUUUAAUGCCUUAACGUACAGUAAAAAAAUGUAUUAAUACUCAACCCUAUCAUACUUUUUGGCUUAAUGCGAGUUGAUUAGUUUUCACUCUUGCUCCUAAAUGAUGAGCGUUUGAAAUACAUCAAAACUGUGUAUGUUUAAUAAUUCUCUAGCUUUAAUUUACUGCAUACCAUUAUCAGAGUAACAAAUAAUAUUGUUUGUAGCAAAUCAUAUAUGACUUCUGAGUAAAUUACUUUUACUUUUAAAAUACAUUAAUAAAAGUUUGUCUAAAUACUCGAGUUACGGUCAUCUUUCAAAGUUACGACCAUCUUGUGUCAGUUACGACCAUCAUCCAAAAUACUAUAGUUGAAUUUACGACCAUCACACAUUUAAAGUUACGACCAUCAUGCUCGAAUUUUUGAAUGACUAUUUUACCAAAAUUGGACUGAUUGUAUCUAUCAAAUUUGGUUUCAAUAUCAACGCACUCACGAUAAGUGUAUAUGAGACAAGCGGUUUGGCUCAAAUGAACAUUUUACUGCACGAAAAUCGAAAAAGAAAAACUUAUCCCUAGAGUUGUCUUCUCUCUCCGGAGAAUUAAUUGACCCAAACUUUUUUCUUCUAUUACAGCAUGUACAGUUUUAAAAAAAAUAUUUCUGCUUUUUGGAUUAUUUGGCGCAUAAAUGUUAGCUAUUGUUAUAAUAGUGUCAUCUAUUUCAAUAUUAACAAGCAAUAGCCUUCCUUCAUUAUCUUUAUAGUCAUCUAUAAUUUUAAAGUUUAGUUUUUUUUUCCAGCCAUAUGGCAAUUCCCCUUGAAUUGCUGGAACCAUUACUUAGUAUAAGUUUGCCUUCAAAUUCGGUAUUUAAAUGGUUUAUCAAAUUAUCUGUAAAGUGUGUUUCUUGCAUAAGAAGAAUGUCACAUUUUUGGGUUUUCGACCAUUCAAUCAAUCUUUUUCUUUUAUCAGGUUGUUGUAAGCCUUUACAAUUUACUGUACAGAUAUGAAGAUGUUUGUUUAAUACCAUAGUUGGUGAGUAUUUUUAAUAUUUAUUUGUAACAUCCAUUAUGCUUCAGUAAACUUAGGUAAAUCCCCUUUGGAGUGUUAAUAAUUAGGUUACAUUUUAGGUGACCUUCACAGAGACUAUAAAUAGACAUUUUUCCAGGUGUUUUAUUUUAAAAGGGACUUUUAUUUAUUAAUCGACUUGUUCUUUGUAUUAUAAAUAGGAGUAAUAUAUUUAUAAUUCUUUUACAUUUGUAGCUGAAUGUAUUUAUUGUGUAAUCAUUACAAGUUUUACACUUAUUAACUUUAUAAAUAAUGUUAACAAACAUUAUUAAUUUUUUACCUGUACUUGUACUUUUUGUGUUUAAAUUCAAUCUACAAAAAGGAUGAUUUGUCCAUCCUGCACAUUUAAUUUUACUGGUUUUACAUGUGUUAUUAUGUAAAAAAUAAGCAUAGUUUAUAUCUAUUGAAGACAUAUAACUACAAGUUACAUUCAAAAAUGAGAAAAAUGUGUUGUUUUCUUUGACCUCAAAGGUCAUUAUUUGGGUCAUCCUUGUGAAUUCACAAACAGUCAUUGACAUGUACAUCAUAACUUGAGUACACUCAGUGUCUGUUGGGCUCAUAUAAAUAUAAACACAUAUGUACUUCAAUUUGAAAUACAUAAUCAAAAAUAUUUAAAAAGAACUAUUUGUAUAUACACAUGCUUGCAUAUACAUAUACAUGUAUAACAAAUAAAAACAAUUUUGUUAUAAGUACAAAGCAUGAGAAUCAGUUUUGUUAAAAUAUUUGUAUUUUUAGAAGUGGUAUGUUGGUUUAAAUUUUUCAUUAUAACCACAUUUACUUUUACAAAGUUUAACUAUUGGGUUUUGAAUAUUUCUAGGAUUGAAUUUUUGACAAAUAAAAUAUAUUGUAAAAUUGUUUGCUUGAAGAUUUCUAUUUUUUGCUUUAUUGCCAAAAUGUGUUUGAUUAAACAUUUCUUAUCUUUAUUUUUAGGAUAAGAAGAUGGUGACCGAUUUUGACUGGUCCUCACUGAACAUUGGCUUCCAAAAAGUUGAAACCUCAUCAGAUAUGGAUAAAAUGUGAAAAGCUCAAUAUGUACAGACAGAACAAAUAUAAUUAUGUACAACUGCAUUUUAAAAUUUUUUUUUUUUUUUUAUAAUAUAUAAUAAAAUAGGUUUAAU
Molecule: long non-coding RNA, 7061 nt
Filed under: Mytilus galloprovincialis (Mediterranean mussel)
Lineage: Eukaryota; Metazoa; Mollusca; Bivalvia; Mytilida; Mytilidae
Source: RNAcentral